RNAcentral lists this long non-coding RNA (307 nucleotides) under Callithrix jacchus (white-tufted-ear marmoset). RNAcentral's name for it is "lncRNA (ENSCJAG00000055635.2)". The record is from RNAcentral. Lineage: Eukaryota; Metazoa; Chordata; Mammalia; Primates; Cebidae.
GAUGCAAUGUGAAAAUGGCAGUCUGGAACCUAGAAGAAGGCCCUCAUCAGAACCUGACCACUUAGACACAGUUAUCACCCCUUCCUCAUUGGAGACAAUGAAUCAUCCCCACCCCGUAGAGGGCCCUCUCCUGGAGGAAAAGAAGAACAAUCGGAGAGCAGGUGAGAGUCAAACUUCUGGAGUCAAGAAAUCCUCUUGCCUCAGCCUGCUAAAUGGCUGGAACUACAGACAUGCACCCUGUGCCCAGCAGAAUCUGGAUUUCUUGAUCUCCACUCCUGAUUUGAUAAAGGGAUGGGCAAUUUUCUUU